RNAcentral lists this long non-coding RNA (1572 nucleotides) under Medicago truncatula (barrel medic). RNAcentral's name for it is "long non-coding RNA (MTRU_LNC004715)". Lineage: Eukaryota; Viridiplantae; Streptophyta; Magnoliopsida; Fabales; Fabaceae. The record is from RNAcentral.
CUGUCUUUUUCUCCAAGUCUAUGAUGCAGGGGUAUUUUAGUCUUUUUAACGUAGAGGAAACCCUAUUAUUUUACUAUUUAAAGACUGUCACAGAGUCAGAUGCGUCAGAGAAUUCUGCAGUCACCAAUCACCAUCAGAAACACCUUUCAUUUUCUCUUUCUUCCCUUUUUCAAAUCAUAUACACAAAAUUCACAAAGUUCAUCAUGAACAUCGUAUGAACAUGAUGAACACAGAUUUUUCCAGUAACUAAUUCCAGACUCAAAAUCAUCAAACAACAACAUUAUUUUCGUGAAUCCUACACCACCAAUUCAUUUUCUUUCGAAAUCCAUCAAACACAAAUUUGGUUCACCACAGAUCCAAAAUCGGUUCAUCUCAACACAUGUCUGAACUUCAAUAUAUCACCACAGUUAUGAAACCAAGCUUAAACAUGUACUGAAGCUGUUUCGUUCUCAACAAACUGGCAUACAACUGAAAGCAAGAUCGAAAUCCAGAGAAAGAAGGAAGAAUGUCCAUAUCGGAGCUUAUCCGAACCAGAUCGAGCUCUCUUUGUUUUGAAGUUUUCCGUUUGUGCUAGCUUUCUCCGAAUAUAAGCAAAGGUAACGGCCAUUUCCUUUCAGUUUCGUUCUUUGUGUUUCAAAAAUUUUCGAAUCUCAAAUGUUAGAUCUAGGACGAAUCGUUGUUUAUUUUUGAAAACUAAGUGCGGAAUAAGGAUGAAAAUGGAUGUCUGAAGAAGUAGAAAAUUUUUGAAACGGAGAGGUUUGGGUGGUUGCGGCGGCAGCGCCGCCACCUUGUGGUGGUCGGCCACUGCGCCAGCGUGUUAGUGGUUCGUCGAAGAAGAGAGAGUUACUUGCGGACUCUCUCUCUCUCUAAGUGAGGAUGUAGAGAGAAGGAGAAUAUUAUAUUGUGUUGUUUUUUGAGUGAAUCAUCAACUUCGUCCCUGAAUUUUCACGGGUCGGCCAACUUCGUCCCUUAAUUAUGCGAAAUAUCAAUUUAAUCCCUGAAUUUGUUAAAUGUCAAUCAAGUUAGUCCUUCAGUUCAAAUGGAGCGUUGAUGGGGCUGACGUGGCCGUUAACCUCUCAGUUCAAACGGAGCGUUGACGGGACUGACGUGGCCGUUAACCUCUCACAUAUCAGACGCCACGUAGGCAGGGACUAAUUUGGCCGAUAAUGACCUAAUUUUCAAGGACUAAGUUGAUUGAAUUUCAGGAAAUUGCUCUUCUUCCCCAAUGGCUCUCUUCCUUCUCCAAAGGCUAUUUCAUCCCCAAAUAUAUAAAAUUGGAACCCUAAUUUUACAAUGUGUAAUCUACACUCCAAAAUCUCAAAAUUUUCUUCCAAUAAUUAAGGGUCACGUUCUUCCCCAAAUCAAAAAAUUGCAAACCCUAAUUUUUUUAAUUGAAUCUGAAAACCAAAAUCUGCAAAAUUCAUUCAAGCAAAACUAUUGAAAUUGAAUCUAAAAUGAUGGGGGUGGUCAUAUGGGCAAAAAGAGCUAUCAAAGUCAAGCUUCAUCUUCAUCCUCCAUGUUUAAUGUUGAUGUGAGAGUGCUUGAAUGUUGUGUGGGUUGAUGAAGCCGAAG